This 1370-nucleotide ribosomal RNA is filed under the name Loktanella gaetbuli. RNAcentral's name for it is "partial 23S ribosomal RNA". It matches the Rfam family "Bacterial large subunit ribosomal RNA", at positions 1427 to 2925 of the family's 2925-position model. Lineage: Bacteria; Pseudomonadati; Pseudomonadota; Alphaproteobacteria; Rhodobacterales; Roseobacteraceae. The record is from RNAcentral.
AGGUUAAUAUUCCUGGGCCGUGGAGUGGUGACGGAUCUGAGACGUAGUUCAUCCUUAUCGGAUUGAAUGGGCUGCCAACAGGUCCCUGGAAAUAGCCCUCCUUUAAGAUCGUACCCUAAACCGACACAGGUGGACUGGUAGAGAAUACCAAGGCGCUUGAGAGAACCACAUUUAAGGAACUCGGCAAAAUACCUCCGUAAGUUCGCGAGAAGGAGGCCCGGUUUUUACGCAAGUAGAGGCCGGGGGCACAAACCAGGGGGUGGCGACUGUUUACUAAAAACACAGGGCUCUGCGAAGUCGUAAGACGACGUAUAGGGUCUGACGCCUGCCCGGUGCCUGAAGGUUAAAAGGAGGAGUGCAAGCUCCGAAUUGAAGCCCAGGUAAACGGCGGCCGUAACUAUAACGGUCCUAAGGUAGCGAAAUUCCUUGUCGGGUAAGUUCCGACCUGCACGAAUGGCGUAACGACUUCCCCGCUGUCUCAAAUGUGGACUCAGCGAAAUUGAAUUACCGGUCAAGAUGCCGGUUACCCGCGGUUAGACGGAAAGACCCCAUGCACCUUUACUACAGCUUCACACUGGCAUCAGGCCAUGCAUGUGCAGGAUAGGUGGUAGGCUUUGAAGCGGGGACGCCAGUCCUCGUGGAGCCUCCCUUGAGAUACCACCCUUGCAUUGCUUGAUGUCUAACCGCGGUCCGUUAUCCGGAUCCGGGACCCUGUGUGGUGGGUAGUUUGACUGGGGCGGUCGCCUCCUAAAUUGUAACGGAGGCGCGCGAAGGUUGGCUCAGAGCGGUCGGAAAUCGCUCGUUGAGUGCAAUGGCAGAAGCCAGCCUGACUGCGAGACUGACAAGUCGAGCAGAGUCGAAAGACGGCCAUAGUGAUCCGGUGGUCCCGAGUGGAAGGGCCAUCGCUCAACGGAUAAAAGGUACGCUGGGGAUAACAGGCUGAUGGUGCCCAAGAGUCCAUAUCGACGGCACCGUUUGGCACCUCGAUGUCGGCUCAUCUCAUCCUGGGGCUGGAGCAGGUCCCAAGGGUACGGCUGUUCGCCGUUUAAAGAGGUACGUGAGCUGGGUUUAGAACGUCGUGAGACAGUUCGGUCCCUAUCUUCCGUGGGUGUAGGAUAUUUGAGAAGAGUUGCCCCUAGUACGAGAGGACCGGGGUGAACGAUCCACUGGUGGAUCUGUUGUCGUGCCAACGGCAGUGCAGAGUAGCUAUGAUCGGACAGGAUAACCGCUGAAGGCAUCUAAGCGGGAAGCCCCCUUCAAAACAAGAUAUCCCUGAGAGCCGAGGUAGACCACCUCGUCGAUAGGCCAGAGAUGUAAGCGCAGCAAUGUGUUCAGUUGACUGGUACUAAUGGCUCGAUAGGCUUGAUUUG